UACGAAGGGGGCUAGCGUUGCUCGGAAUCACUGGGCGUAAAGGAUGCGUAGGCGGGCCUUUAAGUCAGGGGUGAAAUCCUGGAGCUCAACUCCAGAACUGCCUUUGAUACUGAAGAUCUUGAGUUCGGGAGAGGUGAGUGGAACUGCGAGUGUAGAGGUGAAAUUCGUAGAUAUUCGCAAGAACACCAGUGGCGAAGGCGGCUCACUGGCCCGAUACUGACGCUGAGGCACGAAAGCGUGGGGAGCAAACAGG
Molecule: ribosomal RNA, 253 nt
Filed under: uncultured bacterium
Lineage: Bacteria
Description: partial 16S ribosomal RNA
Rfam family: Bacterial small subunit ribosomal RNA
Source: RNAcentral